This 250-nucleotide ribosomal RNA is filed under the name uncultured bacterium. RNAcentral describes it as "partial 16S ribosomal RNA". It matches the Rfam family "Bacterial small subunit ribosomal RNA", at positions 29 to 266 of the family's 1533-position model. The record is from RNAcentral.
AGCGAACGCUGGCGGCGUGCUUAACACAUGCAAGUCGAACGUGAAAGGGAGCAAUCCUGAGUAAAGUGGCGUACGGGUGAGUAACACGUAGGUAAUCUACCUUAAAGCCUGGAAUAACCUGCCGAAAGGCGGGCUAAUACUGGAUAGAGCGACGGACAACGUAGAGUUGUCUUCGGGAAAGGGAGCUCGCAAGAGCCCUCACUUUAAGAUGAGCCUGCGUCCCAUUAGCUAGUUGGUAGGGUAAUGGCCU